AAAAUUAGAGUGUUCAAAGCAGGCAGAUUCAAUUUUCUGCCACCGAAUACAUUAGCAUGGGAUAAUGGAAUAGGACCCUGUCCUCCUAUUUUCAGUUGGUUUUGGCAGCGCGAGGACUAGGGUAAUGAUUAAUAGGGAUAGUUGGGGGCAUUAAUAUUUAAUUGUCAGAGGUGAAAUUCUUGGAUUUAUGAAAGAUUAACUUCUGCGAAAGCAUCUGCCAAGGAUGUUUUCAUUAAUCAAGAACGAAAGUUAGGGGAUCGAAGACGAUCAGAUACCGUCGUAGUCUUAACCAUAAACGAUGCCGACCAGCGAUUAGGAGACGUUGAAUACAAAACACCACCAUCGGCGCGGUCGUCCUUGGCGUUCGUGUUCACGCACGAGCGCGAGGGCGGCUUAGCCCGAUGGCACCGGUGAA
RNAcentral lists this ribosomal RNA (415 nucleotides) under Acanthamoeba sp. RNAcentral describes it as "SSU rRNA". The stretch from base 1 to 372 matches the Rfam family "Eukaryotic small subunit ribosomal RNA", at positions 762 to 1114 of the family's 1831-position model. Lineage: Eukaryota; Discosea; Longamoebia; Acanthamoebidae. The record is from RNAcentral. RNAcentral also lists the same sequence under 1 other name.